GUGCCAGCAGCCGCGGUAAAACGUAGGACGCAAACGUUAUCCGGAAUUACUGGGCGUAAAGAGCGUGUAGGCGGGUAAGUAAGUUGUCCGUGAAAGCUCCCGGCUAAACUGGGAGAGGUCGGAUAAGACUGCUUGCCUAGAGGGUGUUAGAGGGAUGCGGAAUUCCGGGUGUAGUGGUGAAAUGCGUAGAGAUCCGGAGGAACACCAGAGGCGAAGGCGGCAUCCUGGGACAUACCUGACGCUGAGACGCGAAAGCAUGGGGAGCGAACGGGAUUAGAUACCCUAGUAGUCC
Molecule: ribosomal RNA, 292 nt
Filed under: uncultured bacterium
Lineage: Bacteria
Description: partial 16S ribosomal RNA
Rfam family: Bacterial small subunit ribosomal RNA
Source: RNAcentral